RNAcentral lists this ribosomal RNA (721 nucleotides) under uncultured Pseudomonadota bacterium. RNAcentral's name for it is "bacterial SSU rRNA". It matches the Rfam family "Bacterial small subunit ribosomal RNA", at positions 61 to 790 of the family's 1533-position model. Lineage: Bacteria; Pseudomonadati; Pseudomonadota. The record is from RNAcentral.
GUCGAACGAACCUUCGGGUUAGUGGCGGACGGGUGAGUAAUGCUUAGGAAUCUGCCUAUUAGUGGGGGACAACAUCUCGAAAGGGAUGCUAAUACCGCAUACGUCCUACGGGAGAAAGCAGGGGACCUUCGGGCCUUGCGCUAAUAGAUGAGCCUAAGUCGGAUUAGCUAGUUGGUGGGGUAAAGGCCUACCAAGGCGACGAUCUGUAGCGGGUCUGAGAGGAUGAUCCGCCACACUGGGACUGAGACACGGCCCAGACUCCUACGGGAGGCAGCAGUGGGGAAUAUUGGACAAUGGGGGGAACCCUGAUCCAGCCAUGCCGCGUGUGUGAAGAAGGCCUUUUGGUUGUAAAGCACUUUAAGCGAGGAGGAGGCUACCGAGAUUAAUACUCUUGGAUAGUGGACGUUACUCGCAGAAUAAGCACCGGCUAACUCUGUGCCAGCAGCCGCGGUAAUACAGAGGGUGCAAGCGUUAAUCGGAUUUACUGGGCGUAAAGCGCGCGUAGGUGGCCAAUUAAGUCAAAUGUGAAAUCCCCGAGCUUAACUUGGGAAUUGCAUUCGAUACUGGUUGGCUAGAGUAUGGGAGAGGAUGGUAGAAUUCCAGGUGUAGCGGUGAAAUGCGUAGAGAUCUGGAGGAAUACCGAUGGCGAAGGCAGCCAUCUGGCCUAAUACUGACACUGAGGUGCGAAAGCAUGGGGAGCAAACAGGAUUAGAUACCCUGG